RNAcentral lists this ribosomal RNA (484 nucleotides) under uncultured bacterium. RNAcentral's name for it is "bacterial SSU rRNA". It matches the Rfam family "Bacterial small subunit ribosomal RNA", at positions 29 to 507 of the family's 1533-position model. The record is from RNAcentral.
AUUGAACGCUGGCGGCAUGCUUUACACAUGCAAGUCGAGCGGCAGCGGGGGCUUCGGCCUGCCGGCGAGCGGCGAACGGGUGAGUAAUGCAUCGGAACGUACCCAGUGGCGGGGGAUAGCUCGGCGAAAGCCGGAUUAAUACCGCAUACGCCCUGAGGGGGAAAGUGGGGGAUCUUCGGACCUCACACCAUUGGAGCGGCCGAUGUCGGAUUAGCUAGUUGGUGGGGUAAAGGCUCACCAAGGCGACGAUCCGUAGCUGGUCUGAGAGGAUGAUCAGCCACACUGGGACUGAGACACGGCCCAGACUCCUACGGGAGGCAGCAGUGGGGAAUUUUGGACAAUGGGCGCAAGCCUGAUCCAGCCAUGCCGCGUGAGUGAAGAAGGCCUUCGGGUUGUAAAGCUCUUUCAGUCGGGAAGAAAAGGCGUUCUCUAACAUAGGGCGUCGAUGACGGUACCGACAGAAGAAGCACCGGCUAACUACGUG